Molecule: long non-coding RNA, 441 nt
Organism: Engraulis encrasicolus (European anchovy)
Lineage: Eukaryota; Metazoa; Chordata; Actinopteri; Clupeiformes; Engraulidae
Exons: 3
Source: RefSeq, a predicted model, not a curated record
AUGUUAGCUGGUGAUGCUGAAGAAGACGUGAAUGACUCCCAAACAGGCGAGCAAGAGACCGAGGACGGUGUUGGGGCAGCAGAUCGUGUGUCUAAGGGUCGCAGGGAGCUGAUCAACAGGAUUGGUGAGGCCUCUCUCAAAGCUGCUCUGGACGGCCUUCAGACAGAGAUCUCUGGUAGAUCUGCUGUGAUUACGCGUUAUGAGUCAAACAUGGUUUUGCAAAAACACCUCGUGAUUGAAGACCAAGUGAGGUGCCUCGUUGACAUGUUGUGGAACAAGGGCGAACUGGCCUGUGAGAGAUUUCUUGAUGUUCUUGCAGAAGUGGACCCUGCCCUCUGGAAAUACCUCUUUGGUGCUGAGACCUCAACUCUGGCACAACCAGCAAAGAAGCCUGGUAUGUUCUGCUUACUCUUUACAUUACUUUUACUAUCUAUCCGGUAA